CUUUUAAAGGAAAAUAGUAAUCCUUUGACCUUAGGAGUCAUAAUUUUUGGUGHAAAUCCAAGUAAAAGUAA
RNAcentral lists this transfer RNA (71 nucleotides) under Aneides aeneus. RNAcentral's name for it is "tRNA-Leu". Lineage: Eukaryota; Metazoa; Chordata; Amphibia; Caudata; Plethodontidae. The record is from RNAcentral.